Molecule: small nucleolar RNA, 116 nt
Filed under: Echinops telfairi (small Madagascar hedgehog)
Lineage: Eukaryota; Metazoa; Chordata; Mammalia; Afrosoricida; Tenrecidae
Description: Small nucleolar RNA SNORA61 (ENSETEG00000025272.1)
Source: RNAcentral
ACCCUCAAGGUUCCUUACCCCUCGGAUCUACAUGUUGGUCUGAGUGGGAGAAAAAGGAGGCAAAGUAAACUGAAGUGGAGAGUCUUCAGUGACACAUAUGUUCAUUUCCAACAUAU